AUCUACCUCAUAAAAGGUAGUGAAAGUGCUCUGAACUCCUGUCUGAUUUCCGAGAGAUACAGAAAAGAAUAAAUGGACCAUCUGGGAGAAGGAGAAUGAAGAAGCACCGUGCCCUGUCAGGCAUUGGUGGGGACAAUCAUGGUGGGGAGAUUCAAGGGGGUGUGAAACCCCUAUUUAAAGCAUUGAAGAUCACCAAGAGAGAAAGCAAGGGCUGCAGCUCUUAAAGCCUGGAACAGUAUGUGGGGAAUCUCAGAUGUCUUUCUUGGAAGUUCCAUUGCCCUGCUGUGUGACCUUCAUCAAGCCCUUGGCCUCUGCAUCUCCAGCCAGUACAUGGUACUAAAAGGAUACUUACCUCGUUCAUGGAAUCACUGAAGAACUAAUGUAUUCAUUGUUGCUACAACUGCAACUCUUUUUACUCUUCCUUUUUGUACCCAAGGAGGGGCUGUGUGACAGGCACAUUUUAAAAGAUAAGCCAAUAACCAAUGCCUAUCUCUACUUCUGAAAAUGUUAUCUUUAGCACAAAAUAUUACUGUCAAUGUUGA
Canis lupus familiaris (dog) is the source of this 542-nucleotide long non-coding RNA. RefSeq lists it as uncharacterized. The transcript has 2 exons. Lineage: Eukaryota; Metazoa; Chordata; Mammalia; Carnivora; Canidae. The record is from RefSeq and is a predicted model, not a curated record.